RNAcentral lists this transfer RNA (74 nucleotides) under Alphaproteobacteria bacterium. RNAcentral describes it as "tRNA-Gln". It matches the Rfam family "tRNA". Rfam says of the family: Transfer RNA (tRNA) molecules are approximately 80 nucleotides in length. The record is from RNAcentral. Lineage: Bacteria; Pseudomonadati; Pseudomonadota; Alphaproteobacteria.
UGGGGGAUCGUCUAGCGGUAGGACAACGGUCUCUGACACCGUUUACCCUGGUUCGAAUCCAGGUCCCCCAGCCA